This 417-nucleotide non-coding RNA is filed under the name Sodalis glossinidius str. 'morsitans'. The record is from RNAcentral. Lineage: Bacteria; Pseudomonadati; Pseudomonadota; Gammaproteobacteria; Enterobacterales; Bruguierivoracaceae.
AGCCGCUGUAGCGUCGUGCCGAGCGGUUUGAUAAACAGUGAAUUAUUCUGUAGCGCUACAUUGCCGGCAGCGGUCACCAGCUGACCGUCAAGGGGAAUAUCCAAAUGCAGAUUGCCGUGCACUUCUCCUCCAACCUGCAACUCAUUAAGCGUUUUACCGAGAGACGCUUUGAGGGGUGUUUGCAGGAAAUAGUCGCGGAUAGCAUCGCCGGUGCCGCUGAGGCCGACGUCGAUCAAGAGCUUUUCUUUGGAAUAAUCGGGAAUACUGGCGGCGAUAUUGCUGCCCUUAGCCUCGCCGAGCGCGGUUUGCGGCGCAUGCAUAAACAGGCCGUCGUUGACAAAAUCCAGGUCGAUAUCCAGCUGCGUCAGCGGCGGCCAACCGGGUUCAAACUCAUAUUCCGCCUGCUUGAGCGGCACC